This is a long non-coding RNA of Acipenser ruthenus (sterlet), 231 nucleotides long. RefSeq lists it as uncharacterized. Lineage: Eukaryota; Metazoa; Chordata; Actinopteri; Acipenseriformes; Acipenseridae. The transcript has 2 exons. The record is from RefSeq and is a predicted model, not a curated record.
GCAGUGUUGAGCUGGCUGACUCUGUCCAAGGCUAUAUUUCUGCUGGACCGGUCCAAAUUGCACCCGAGGGGGAAGUUGCCAGUGUUCAAGCAGCCGGUGUGGCGACUCCUCUGGUCCCCUAUAUUCCAGUCUUGGGAGUUGCAGUGGGAGUCCUUCUACUUGCUGUUGUAGUGUUUGCUGCCAAAGCUAUGCGAUGUUGGGUUUCUAUUUAAUAAAAAUCUUUGCCUGAAA